AUUCUGCUGAUGAGUUCAGAAUAGAACGAAACGUGCGUUCAGCAU
This 45-nucleotide non-coding RNA is filed under the name Schistosoma margrebowiei. The record is from RNAcentral. Lineage: Eukaryota; Metazoa; Platyhelminthes; Trematoda; Strigeidida; Schistosomatidae.